CAUUACUGAGUUUACGCUCUAUAACCCUUUGUGAACAUACCUAUAACUGUUGCUUCGGCGGGUAGGGUCUCCGCGACCCUCCCGGCCCCCCGCCUCCGGGCGGGUCGGCGCCCGCCGGAGGAUAACCAAACUCUGAUUUAACGACGUUUCUUCUGAGUGGUACAAGCAAAUAAUCAAAACUUUUAACAACGGAUCUCUUGGUUCUGGCAUCGAUGAAGAACGCAGCGAAAUGCGAUAAGUAAUGUGAAUUGCAGAAUUCAGUGAAUCAUCGAAUCUUUGAACGCACAUUGCGCCCGCCAGCAUUCUGGCGGGCAUGCCUGUUCGAGCGUCAUUUCAACCCUCAAGCUCUGCUUGGUGUUGGGGCCCUACAGCUGAUGUAGGCCCUCAAAGGUAGUGGCGGACCCUCCCGGAGCCUCCUUUGCGUAGUAACUUUACGUCUCGCACUGGGAUCCGGAGGGACUCUUGCCGUAAAACCCCCCAAUUUUCCAAAGGUUGACCUCGGA
This 503-nucleotide ribosomal RNA is filed under the name Colletotrichum cf. gloeosporioides ROG-2010. RNAcentral describes it as "eukaryotic LSU rRNA". The stretch from base 178 to 331 matches the Rfam family "5.8S ribosomal RNA". Lineage: Eukaryota; Fungi; Ascomycota; Sordariomycetes; Glomerellales; Glomerellaceae. The record is from RNAcentral.